Molecule: ribosomal RNA, 403 nt
Filed under: uncultured eukaryote
Lineage: Eukaryota
Description: SSU rRNA
Rfam family: Eukaryotic small subunit ribosomal RNA
Source: RNAcentral
CAAUAGCGUAUAUUAAAGUUGUUGCGGUUAAAAGCUCGUAGUUGGAUUUCUGCCGAGGACGACCGGUCCGCCCUCUGGGUGAGUAUCUGGCUCGGCCUGGGCAUCUUCUUGGAGAACGUAUCUGCACUUGACUGUGUGGUGCGGUAUCCAGGACUUUUACUUUGAGGAAAUUAGAGUGUUUCAAGCAGGCAUACGCCUUGAAUACAUUAGCAUGGAAUAAUAAGAUAGGACCUCGGUUCUAUUUUGUUGGUUUCUAGAGCUGAGGUAAUGAUUAAUAGGGAUAGUUGGGGGCGAUUCGUAUUUAACUGUCAGAGGUGAAAUUCUUGGAUUUAUGGAAGACGAACUACUGCGAAAGCAUUUACCAAGGAUGUUUUUCAUUAAAUCAAGAACGAAAGUUAGGGGA